AUUGAACGCUGGCGGCAUGCCUUACACAUGCAAGUCGAACGGCAGCACGGGAGCAAUCCUGGUGGCGAGUGGCGAACGGGUGAGUAAUAUAUCGGAACGUGCCCAGUCGUGGGGGAUAACGUAGCGAAAGCUACGCUAAUACCGCAUACGAUCUAUGGAUGAAAGCGGGGGAUCGCAAGACCUCGCGCGAUUGGAGCGGCCGAUAUCAGAUUAGGUAGUUGGUGAGGUAAAGGCUCACCAAGCCGACGAUCUGUAGCUGGUCUGAGAGGACGACCAGCCACACUGGGACUGAGACACGGCCCAGACUCCUACGGGAGGCAGCAGUGGGGGAAUUUUUGGACAAUGGGCGAAAGCCUGAUCCAGCAAUGCCGCGUGAGUGAUGAAGGCCUUAGGGUUGUAAAGCUCUUUUACCCGAGAUGAUAAUGACAGUAUCGGGAGAAUAAGCUCCGGCUAACUCCGUGCCAGCAGCCG
RNAcentral lists this ribosomal RNA (471 nucleotides) under uncultured bacterium. RNAcentral's name for it is "bacterial SSU rRNA". It matches the Rfam family "Bacterial small subunit ribosomal RNA", at positions 30 to 517 of the family's 1533-position model. The record is from RNAcentral.